CUCCCGGUCGCGGCUGGCUGCAACAGAGCUUGGGCUCGAACCCAGAAUCUCUGGUGGCACAGCUAGCACAGCGGUGCAUUGCCUUAGACCAAUGCGCCACCCGGGAGGCCCUACAAAAAUAAUUUUCCAUACAGAUUUGACUUUAGGACCAUGCGGACGCCUCAACCUUUUGUCAAAACAGUGCAGGGUAAAGCAGGAAGUAGUAGAAGGCAUUAAAUCACAUCACAUUGUAUUGGUCACAUACACAUGGUUAGCAGAUGUUAAUGCGAGUGUAGCGAAAUGCUUGGCUAGGUGACUGCUGUUUGACUUGAUGUGAAAUUAGACUAGAGGUGGCUAGGUGACUGCUGUUUGACUUGAUGUGAAUUUAGACUAGAGGUGGCUAGGUGACUGCUGUUUGACUUGAUGUGAAAUUAGACUAGAGGUGGCUAGGUGACUGCUGUUUGACUUGAUGUGAAAUUAGACUAGAGGUGGCUAGGUGACGGCUGUUUGACUUGAUGUGAAAUUAGACUAGAGGUGGCUAGGUGACUGCUGUUUGACUUGAUGUGAAAUUAGACUAGAGGUGGCUAGGUGACUGCUGUUUGACUGCUGUUUGACUGCUGUUUGACUUGAUGUGAAAUUAGACUAGAGGUGACUAGGUGACUGCUGUUUGACUUGAUGUGAAAUUAGACUAGAGGUGGCUAGGUGACUGCUGUUUGACUUGAUGUGAAAUUAGACUAGAGGUGGCUAGGUGACUGCUGUUUGACUGCUGUUUGACUGCUGUUUGACUUGAUGUGAAAUUAGACUAGAGGUGACUAGGUGACUGCUGUUUGACUUGAUGUGAAUUUAGACUAGAGGUGGCUAGGUGACUGCUGUUUGACUUGAUGUGAAAUUAGACUAGAGGUGGCUAGGUGACUGCUGUUUGACUUGAUGUGAAAUUAGACUAGAGGUGGCUAGGUGACUGCUGUUUGACUUGAUGUGAAAUUAGACUAGAGGUGGCUAGGUGACUGCUGUUUGACUUGAUGUGAAAUUAGACUAGAGGUGGCUAGGUGACUGCUGUUUGACUUGAUGUGAAAUUAGACUAGAGGUGGCUAGGUGACUGCUGUUUGACUUGAUGUGAAAUUAGACUAGAGGUGGCUAGGUGACUGCUGUUUGACUUGAUGUGAAAUUAGACUAGAGGUGGCUAGGUGACUGCUGUUUGACUUGAUGUGAAAUUAGACUAGAGGUGGCUAGGUGACUGCUGUUUGACUUGAUGUGAAAUUAGACUAGAGGUGGCUAGGUGACUGCUGUUUGACUUGAUGUGAAAUUAGACUAGAGGUGGCUAGGUGACUGCUGUUUGACUUGAUGUGAAAUUAGACUAGAGGUGGCUAGGUGACUGCUGUUUGACUUGAUGUGAAAUUAGACUAGAGGUGGCUAGGUGACUGCUGUUUGACUGCUGUUUGACUUGAUGUGAAAUUAGACUAGAGGUGGCUAGGUGACUGCUGUUUGACUUGAUGUGAAAUUAGACUAGAGGUGGCUAGGUGACUGCUGUUUGACUUGAUGUGAAAUUAGACUAGAGGUGGCUAGGUGACUGCUGUUUGACUUGAUGUGAAAUUAGACUAGAGGUGGCUAGGUGACUGCUGUUUGACUUGAUGUGAAAUUAGACUAGAGGUGGCUAGGUGACUGCUGUUUGACUUGAUGUGAAAUUAGACUAGAGGUGGCUAGGUGACUGCUGUUUGACUGCUGUUUGACUGCUGUUUGACUUGAUGUGAAAUUAGACUAGAGGUGACUAGGUGACUGCUGUUUGACUUGAUGUGAAUUUAGACUAGAGGUGGCUAGGUGACUGCUGUUUGACUUGAUGUGAAAUUAGACUAGAGGUGACUGCUGUUUGACUUGAUGUGAAAUUAGACUAGAGGUGGCUAGGUGACUGCUGUUUGACUUGAUGUGAAAUUAGACUAGAGGUGGCUAGGUGACUGCUGUUUGACUUGAUGUGAAAUUAGACUAGAGGUGGCUAGGUGACUGCUGUUUGACUGCUGUUUGACUUGAUGUGAAAUUAGACUAGAGGUGGCUAGGUGACUGCUGUUUGACUUGAUGUGAAAUUAGACUAGAGGUGGCUAGGUGACUGCUGUUUGACUUGAUGUGAAAUUAGACUAGAGGUGGCUAGGUGACUGCUGUUUGACUUGAUGUGAAAUUAGACUAGAGGUGGCUAGGUGACUGCUGUUUGACUUGAUGUGAAAUUAGACUAGAGGUGGCUAGGUGACUGCUGUUUGACUGCUGUUUGACUUGAUGUGAAAUUAGACUAGAGGUGGCUAGGUGACUGCUGUUUGACUUGAUGUGAAAUUAGACUAGAGGUGGCUAGGUGACUGCUGUUUGACUUGAUGUGAAAUUAGACUAGAGGUGGCUAGGUGACUGCUGUUUGACUGCUGUUUGACUUGAUGUGAAAUUAGACUAGAGGUGGCUAGGUGACUGCUGUUUGACUUGAUGUGAAAUUAGACUAGAGGUGGCUAGGUGACUGCUGUUUGACUUGAUGUGAAAUUAGACUAGAGGUGGCUAGGUGACUGCUGUUUGACUUGAUGUGAAAUUAGACUAGAGGUGGCUAGGUGCCUACCAGUAUUGGAGCUAGUGUGUUUUUUUUAUUUUACUCGGCAAGUCAGUUAAGAACAAAUUCUUAUUUUCCAUGACGGCCUAGGAACGGUGGGUUAACUGCCUUGUUCAGGGGCAGAACGACAGCUUUUCUACCUUGUCAGCUCGAGGAUUCGAUCUUACAACCUUUCGGUUACUAGUCCAACGCUCUAACCACUAGGCUACACUGCCGCCCACCCCAUUUGUAGAAUGUUCACUAACCUAUCGACUGGGCGUGGGGGGGUCCCCCCCUAUCACUUUGCCAUAGCCUAGGCUUAUCUGAAAUGACAACCUGGUACAAAAACAAAACUGCUUCCAAGCUUCCUGACAUCCAGGACCUAAAUACCAGGCGGUGUCAGACGAAGGCUCAAAAAAUUGUCAAAGACUCCAGUCAUCCAAAUCAUAGCCUGUUCUCUCCUGCUUCCGCACGGCAAGCAGUACUGGAACACCAAGUCUAGGACUAAAAAUCUCCUUAACAGCUUCUACCCCCAAGCCAUGAGACUGCUGAAUGACUAAACUAAUCAAAUGGCCACCCAGACUAUUUAUUUUUAACUCACUCCCCCCUCUUUGUUUUUACACUGCAGCUACUCACUGUUUAUUAUCUGCUCGUAGUCACUUCACAAAUGACCUCGACUAACCUGUACCUCCACACAUUGACUCGGUUGACCCUGUAUAUAGCCUCGUUGUUGUUAUGUAAAUGUCUGUCCAUGGUAUAGGAGGCUGGUGGGAGGAGCUAAAGGCAGAUGGGCUCAUCGUAAUAAUGGUUGGAAUGGAAAGGAGACAAACACAUAUGUUUUCAUAUGUUUGAUGUGUUCGGAACUAAUUGCGUUUCUAUCAGUCCACCCAUUACAAUGAGCCCGUCCUCCUAUAGCUCCUCCCACAAGCCUCCUCUGGUACAUAGUGUCUCGCAAUAGGCCUAUCCAAACUGCUCAAAAGGUCUACACAACCCUGGAGAACACAGAGAAGGGAGUAGGGAAGGGGGUACGGAAGGGAGUAGGGAAGG
Molecule: long non-coding RNA, 3580 nt
Organism: Oncorhynchus tshawytscha (Chinook salmon)
Lineage: Eukaryota; Metazoa; Chordata; Actinopteri; Salmoniformes; Salmonidae
Exons: 5
Source: RefSeq, a predicted model, not a curated record